This 183-nucleotide ribosomal RNA is filed under the name Staphylococcus aureus. RNAcentral's name for it is "partial 23S ribosomal RNA". It matches the Rfam family "Bacterial large subunit ribosomal RNA", at positions 1 to 182 of the family's 2925-position model. The record is from RNAcentral. Lineage: Bacteria; Bacillati; Bacillota; Bacilli; Caryophanales; Staphylococcaceae.
GAUUAAGUUAUUAAGGGCGCACGGUGGAUGCCUUGGCACUAGAAGCCGAUGAAGGACGUUACUAACGACGAUAUGCUUUGGGGAGCUGUAAGUAAGCUUUGAUCCAGAGAUUUCCGAAUGGGGAAACCCAGCAUGAGUUAUGUCAUGUUAUCGAUAUGUGAAUACAUAGCAUAUCAGAAGGCA